Small nuclear RNA from Homo sapiens (human), 109 nucleotides. Lineage: Eukaryota; Metazoa; Chordata; Mammalia; Primates; Hominidae. The record is from Ensembl.
GGGCUCACUUUGGCAGCACAUAUACUACAAUUGUGAACGAUACAGAGAAGAUUAGCAUUGGCCCCUGCCCAAGGAUGACACACAAAUUCGUGAAGCGUUCCAUAUUUUG